UAGUCCACGCCGUAAACGAUGUGUGCUAGUUGUCGGGAGUUCAGCUCUCGGUGACGGAGCGAAAGUUUUAAGCACACCGCCUGGGGAGUACGGCCGCAAGGUUAAAACUCAAAGGAAUUGACGGGGACCCGCACAAGCGGUGGAGCAUGUUGUUUAAUUCGAAGCAACGCGAAGAACCUUACCUACACUUAACUAUCCUCUUGGGGCUUUCAGAGAUGAUUGCUUUCGGUUCGGCCGGGGAGUGAAUAGGUGCUGCAUGGCUGUCGUCAGCUCGUGUCGUGAGAUGUUGGGUUAAGUCCCGCAACGAGCGCAACCCUUAUUGUCUGUUGCCAUCAUUUAGUUGGGCACUCUGACAAGACUGCCGGUGAUAAGCCGGAGGAAGGCGGGGACGACGUCAAGUCAUCAUGGCCCUUACGUGUAGGGCUACAAACGUGCUACAAUGGCUACUACAGUGAGCAGCUACGUCGCGAGACGAUGCUAAUCUCCAAAAGUAGUCUCAGUUCGGAUUGUU
This 511-nucleotide ribosomal RNA is filed under the name uncultured bacterium. Its description in RNAcentral is "bacterial SSU rRNA". It matches the Rfam family "Bacterial small subunit ribosomal RNA", at positions 791 to 1302 of the family's 1533-position model. The record is from RNAcentral.